RNAcentral lists this long non-coding RNA (757 nucleotides) under Theobroma cacao (cacao). RNAcentral's name for it is "long non-coding RNA (TCAC_LNC003516)". Lineage: Eukaryota; Viridiplantae; Streptophyta; Magnoliopsida; Malvales; Malvaceae. The record is from RNAcentral.
ACAAGGCAGUCUUCUUCCAUACUAUAAAUCUCAAUCCUAUUUGCCUGCAUAUUCAAAGAUAAUUUAGAUGCAUUUCCAGGCUACGAAACACUCCUCCCCCUCAUCCAUCAACACAUAAAUUGGACAUUGUGCCUUAUUUCAGUUCAAGUCGACAUGCUUACCAUUCAUUCCCCAUUUCCAAAUAGAAGCAACAGAGAAAGCAAAAGAUGCAUUAUUUGAAGCACUAUAGAUUGUUUGGUCAAAAUCAUGUAGAGAGAGAGAGAGAGAGAGAGACGGCNUGUAGAGAGAGAGAGAGAGAGAGAGAGGCCAUUUUCUGACCUUAGAAAAAAAAAGAAGAAAAAGGCAUUAGAACUGUCAUGUCUCUAUUGGUCAUGGAGCAACAUAUCAUAUUCAAUAUGCCUUUCUCAAUUGACUUUUUUAUAUGAUCAGGUUUUGAAUUCUCACACAAUUUACUGCUUUUCUUUCAAGGGUAUCAAUCAUCAUCAUCAAUGCACACCUAGUGCUUUUACUUCAUAAUACUGAAAACAAUAUAUCCACUAUCCUUUUGUUUGGUGGGCUCAAACAUUCCAUUACCGUUGUUAUUUUGUUCAUCAGAGCCUCUUUUUUUUUUUUUCAUUUUUAUGGUUGGAUGUCAUCAAAUUCACAUGUCAACAGUGGCAUUGUCCUUGAAAAUCCCUACACAUUUUCUUAGAUAAUAAUUGCUUCUGUUGAAAACAGAUUGUGGACUGAAUUUGAUCAUUAAAAAAAAAUCUGUUAC